This 460-nucleotide ribosomal RNA is filed under the name uncultured bacterium. Its description in RNAcentral is "partial 16S ribosomal RNA". It matches the Rfam family "Bacterial small subunit ribosomal RNA", at positions 338 to 795 of the family's 1533-position model. The record is from RNAcentral.
CCUACGGGACGCAGAAGUGAGGAAUAUUGGGCAAUGGACGCAAGUCUGAACCAGCCAUGCCGCGUGCAGGAAGACGGCUCUAUGAGUUGUAAACUGCUUUUGUACGAGGGUAAACGCAGAUACGCGUAUCUGUCUGAAAGUAUCGUACGAAUAAGGAUCGGCUAACUCCGUGCCAGCAGCCGCGUGAAUACGGAGGAUUCCAGCUUUAUCCGGAUUUAUUUGGUUUAAAGGGUGCGUAGGCGGUCGGAUAAGUUAGCGGUGAAAUCCCGAGGCUCAACUUCGGAAUUGCCUCUGUUACUGUUCGGCUAGAGAGUAGUUGCGGUAGGCGGAAUGUAUGGUGUAGCGGUGAAAUGCUUAGAGAUCAUACAGAACACCGAUUGCGAAGGCAGCUUACCAAGCUACGUCUGACGUUGAGGCACGAAAGCGUGGGGAGCAAACAGGAUUAGAUACCCCGGUAGUC